GACGAACGCUGGCGGCGUGCUUAACACAUGCAAGUCGAACGGAAAGGCCCUGCUUUUGUGGGGUGCUCGAGUGGCGAACGGGUGAGUAACACGUGAGUAACCUGCCCUUGACUUUGGGAUAACUUCAGGAAACUGGGGCUAAUACCGGAUAGGAGCUCCUGCUGCAUGGUGGGGGUUGGAAAGUUUCGGCGGUUGGGGAUUGACUCGCGGCUUAUCAGCUUGUUGGUGGGGUAGUGGCUUACCAAGGCUUUGACGGGUAGCCGGCCUGAGAGGGUGACCGGCCACAUUGGGACUGAGAUACGGCCCAGACUCCUACGGGAGGCAGCAGUGGGGAAUAUUGCACAAUGGGCGGAAGCCUGAUGCAGCAACGCCGCGUGCGGGAUGACGGCCUUCGGGUUGUAAACCGCUUUCGCCUGUGACGAAACGUGAGUGACGGUAAUGGGUAAAGGAGCACCGGCUAACUACGU
This 467-nucleotide ribosomal RNA is filed under the name uncultured bacterium. Its description in RNAcentral is "partial 16S ribosomal RNA". It matches the Rfam family "Bacterial small subunit ribosomal RNA", at positions 28 to 506 of the family's 1533-position model. The record is from RNAcentral.